This is a long non-coding RNA of Oreochromis niloticus (Nile tilapia), 1854 nucleotides long. The record is from Ensembl. Lineage: Eukaryota; Metazoa; Chordata; Actinopteri; Cichliformes; Cichlidae.
GCACAUCUCCGUUUCCUGUGUGUGUGUUGUUACAAAUCAAAGUGUACAAAAUAUGCCAAACGCAGAUUUGUAAUUACUUAUGAACUUUUUCUACUUAUUUCUUUAGACCAAAUCCCCUGUACACGUAUAGUGACUCAGAGGAUGAGCAGCCCACAAAAAAAAGGUUUCCCCAGGCCCCUCGAGUGAAAAUACCAGGUAAUAAAAUAAUGUCUAGUGUCUGUGUACAUAACUGUGUGUCACACAUGGAAACUUCUUGGACAAGUUGUCUGUAUUCUUAAAUACUUUAAAAAAUUUAUCUUUUUCGAUACAGCCCUCAACGCUUCGCAGUCUUCCCCCCAGCCCACUGACAGCAGACAUCAUAAUGCCCCUCAGCUUCCGGCACCUUUCGCCACUCCGGGAGAACAUUCCGAACGACACACCUUUACAAUCUCCCCAGCAUGCAGAGUCUGAUGUAGAGGCCUUCCCUAUAGAUGGUAUGCCUUUAAAUUUUGUUUUAAAGCUGAAUCACAAUGUCAUUGUGCACUUAUCUUCGAAAGCAGAUAUAAAGCCGUUUAUACUGCUGAAUGUCAUCUUGUGAUUUGUUUUUCUGUAGAUUCCAGAGACUCUGUGAGGCCACUAUUACAAGGCAAGUUCGAACAUCUUGGAAUUUCAGAUUUUACAUGUUAUAAAUGGUAAAUGGACUAUAUUUGCACAGCGCUUUAACUAGUCCCUAAGGACCCCAAAGCGCUUUGCACAUUCAGUCAUCCACCCAUUCACACACACAUUCACGCACUAGUGAUGACAAGCUACAUAUACAAAUAUCAGAUAUAUGUGACAGGCAAAAACUAGCAAAAACUUUUAGCAGUUAAAACAACUAAUAAUUGAAUGCAGAAUGUUACACCAUCACUUAUGGAUAUAUUAGUGUUUCGCCACACACUGCUUAAGCCAUUAAUCUUUCUGGAAUUGUUCUUUGAAACAGAUGCGACCGCACAAAAGUUUUUAACAAUGCUGUCAGACCUGACGAGAUCUGUCAACGAACUGCGUGAGGAGGUCAGAGCCAUCCGCAAUACCGGCUCAAAUGAAUCUCUAGAUGCUGGGGUACUCCCUUUGGAUUUGCCCUUAAACAGCAUUGAGGAGCUAAACCAUGCAGAGGCAGCUCUUACGUCGCAAGAGGCAAUUAAGGCAAUGGUGAGACGCUUUGCCUUGAUUGGAGGGACCACACUUGAGGUGCGAGUCCGCCGUGUAAUGGCUUAUGCCAUUACAAAUGAGCUGGCCUCAGUACUAAACUGGGCAGGGAAAAAAACAAAGGACCAGACGAAGCAAAAAAAGGGCAUUUAAAGAUACUGCGCUGUGCAGAUGCAUAUUUGGUAAGUUUUACCGUUUAUUGUAGUUUUAUGAGGCUAAAGUGAACAAUAAAGGGAUCAAUUGAUCUGCUGGGUGUGUUUCACAUGUCCUAUGUCCGGUUUUUGUCCAAGAUGGCCUGACGCAGCAGUUAGGGGCAAACUCGAUGUCAGAGUUUCUCUUUGCACAGGCAGUGCAGAAGUGGCUACGGUACGCCCCAGACCGUUCGGGUGGUGCAGGACGCACAUCAUCCGUCCCCAUCCCGGGGGAGUAGUAAAAACUACAAAGUUAUAUUAAAAUAUAAAUGUAAAAUAGAAAACUGUGUUUAAAUAAAGUAUUUAGCAAACAAAACAUGUCUAUUGACCUUUUUUUGUUUAGUUUUUUUUUCUCUGUUACAUCACAUGCAAUGCUUUCUUAUUUUAGGAUAUUAAUAUUGACAAGAUACAUUGUGAGACAUUUGAUUUUUAUAAAGGGUGUCCAGUUUGAGGAUUCAGUGCAAUUAUGUGUUUAGGUGGUUUAAGUGUUUAUGGAAAC